GUGUUGCCAGGAGUUCCCUUCAAGCACUUCACAUGGAGCUUUACAUAUGCUGUAUUGCGGAUAGCCACCAAUGUGAAGUGUUUGGGGGAACUCUUGGUGCCAA
This 103-nucleotide microRNA precursor is filed under the name Dichanthelium oligosanthes. RNAcentral's name for it is "mir-395 microRNA precursor family". It matches the Rfam family "mir-395 microRNA precursor family". From Rfam's summary of the family: mir-395 was identified in both Arabidopsis thaliana and Oryza sativa computationally and was later experimentally verified. mir-395 is thought to target mRNAs coding for ATP sulphurylases. The mature sequence is excised from the 3' arm of the hairpin. Lineage: Eukaryota; Viridiplantae; Streptophyta; Magnoliopsida; Poales; Poaceae. The record is from Rfam by way of RNAcentral.